AUACGUAGGUGGCAAGCAUUGUCCGGAUUUACUGGGUGUAAAGGGCGUGUAGGCGGAGAUGCAAGUCAGGAGUGAAAUCUAGGGGCUUAACCCAUAAACUGCAUUUGAAACUGUUAUUCUUGAGUAUCGGAGAGGCAGGCGGAAUUCCUAGUGUAGCGGUGAAAUGCGUAGAUAUUAGGAGGAACACCAGUGGCGAAGGCGGCCUGCUGGACGACAACUGACGCUGAGGCGCGAAAGCGUGGGGAGCAAACAGGAUUAGAUACCCUGGUAGUCCACACUGUAAACGAUGAAUGCUAGGUGUAAGAGGUAUCGACCCCUUUUGUGCCGGAGUCAACACAAUAAGCAUUCCGCCUGGGGAGUACGGCCGCAAGGUUGAAACUCAAAUGAAUUGACGGGG
RNAcentral lists this ribosomal RNA (397 nucleotides) under uncultured bacterium. RNAcentral describes it as "partial 16S ribosomal RNA". It matches the Rfam family "Bacterial small subunit ribosomal RNA", at positions 523 to 918 of the family's 1533-position model. The record is from RNAcentral.